Falco peregrinus (peregrine falcon) is the source of this 994-nucleotide long non-coding RNA. RefSeq lists it as uncharacterized. The transcript is spliced from 2 exons. Lineage: Eukaryota; Metazoa; Chordata; Aves; Falconiformes; Falconidae. The record is from RefSeq and is a predicted model, not a curated record.
UCCUCUCCUGGUCCCCCUCCCGGGUCUCCUCCCUCUGGUCCCCCUCCCCGGGCUCCUCCCCGGGCCGGAACGGGACUUCGCCUGGGGUUUCCAGUGCUAACGCUGCCGUGGGUUGUUCACUUUUCCACGUAAAACGCAAAUCGGUUUGAAUUUAGAAUUAAGUUACAAGGUGGAUCUGCUGCCAGACCCUCCGCGAUGCAGAUCUCCCUGUCCCAAAGAGGAAAAAACAGUGAUGCAGCUGUGCAUGCUGGCAGCCUGAGACAGUGCGGGCAGUCAAAACCAAACCUCGGCAUGGCAGCAGGUCUUCGCCUCAGCAGAAAUAUUUUUUAUUAACUCCUAAAUCAGGUUUGAAAAUGAGUCCGUUUCAAGCAGGGAACUUGCAGGCUGUUUCAGUGAUACACGCAAACACUGAUACAUAAAAAUAUUUUUGACAUCUCAUGUGGAUACCACCUGAUGACACCAAACCCAAGACUUUUCUGUAAUAGGCACUUGUACAAGUGGGUCUCUAUACAUGAAUGCACAGGCACACAAAAUGUUAUUUGAAGCCGGAUUUACAGGAAAUCCUCGGCCAUUUUUGAAAACUGUUUUCCAUAAGUUCAAUUCAGCCCGUAUUUACUGUUCUGUACUGUGCUUGAAGUUGUAAUUAAAAAUAGGAAGACUAAAACGAGGGAAGGAGCUAGACUUUUAGAGAUGAAAGUUAGAUCAGCAAUUUUGAGAAGUGUGUAACACUUGCAACUUGAGGUUUAAAUUGUGAUUAAAAUUAGAACUUGUGAAAGUUUAAGGUAGCUGAUUCAUUGGACAUUGAAUUCUCGUUGUGUGUAAGAUAAACAGCUGCCUGUCAUCAAAAUGAGUUUGUAUCUGAAACUGGAAUUGAUGAAAGAAAUCUGCCCUAAUUAUUUUUAAGAAUCACAAUCUGGUCAUUUUUAACUAUGGCAAUAAAUGGAUCCUCACUGUUACUUAAGUUUGCUUGUAAAAUUAAAAUUUCUCCAGUGAA